GAAGAUGAACACGUCUGGAGACCCAGCCCAGACAGAAGGCUGUAGAGGCACCAUGAGUGCCGAGGAGGAUGCCAGGUGGCUCCGGUGGGUGACUCAGCAGUUUAAGACCAUUGCGGGAGAAGAUGGGGAGAUCAGCCUGCAAGAAUUCAAAGCAGCUCUGCAUGUAAAAGAGUCCUUCUUUGCAGAGCGAUUCUUUGCUCUAUUUGACUCCGAUAGAAGUGGCACCAUAACCCUCCAGGAGCUGCAGGAGGCACUGACCCUGCUCAUCCACGGCAGCCCCAUGGACAAACUCAAAUUCCUCUUCCAGGUGUAUGACAUUGAUGGUAAGGGCUCUUCCGGGGUGUGGGCUGGGGUGGGGAGAGCAGUGGGGUCCUCAGAGAGGACUGGCAAUUUAACCUUGGCAGGCCUGGAGGUGCCAUCUCGGCCUCCUUAGCCCAGCCUGGGACUGGUUUCUCCAGGUGAGGCUGACACUUCCUUUCCUCACAUCUCUCCCCUAGUCCCCAGUCUCUCUGUCUGAUCCCUGCCCCCCUUUCUGGGGCAGCAGGGAGAAAAGGAGGGACUCUGGCACAGGAGACAAAUGCCUUCUAUUCAACUUACCAGAGGCCAGAACCUUCUUCUGUUCUUUUCUAUGUCUGAAAAAGAAAAUCUCUGUUGUUUUUUCCUUUUCAUCAUAGUAUAAGCUCACUAUGAACAUUUUAGACAAUACAGAGUGGUAUAAAAAAGAACACAAAAAUCACCCGUAACAUUUUGCUAUAUUGCCUUCUAACUGGUUGCACAUACACACCCCACACACCUUUUUUUUUGUUAACAAAAUGGGAUUAUACUAUACAUACUGCCCUUUUUCACUUACAAAAAUGAACAUUUUGAAAUGUAAAAAUAUAUUGCUUUACAGUGUCAUUUUUAUUGUGGUAAAAUAUACAUAAUGUAAAAUUUGCCAUCUUAACCAUUUUUAAGUGUACAGGUUAGUGGCAUUAAUUAAAUACAUUCACAUUGCUGUGCCGCCAUCACCACCCUCCAUCUCCAGAACCUUUUCAUCCUUCCAUUGAAACUCCUUGCCCACUGAACACUGAAUCCCCAUGCCUCCUCCCCUAGUCCCUGGCAACCACCAUUCUAUUCAUACAUUCUGUCUCUAAGAAUCUGACUUUUCUAGGCACCUCAUCUAAGUGGGAUUAUACAAUAUUUGUCAUUUUGUAUCUGGCUUAUGUCACUUAGUAUAGUAUCCUCAAGCUUCAUCCGUGUCAUAGCAUGUGACAGAAUUUUCUUCCUUUUUAAGGCUGAAUAAUAUUCCAUUGUAGGUAUAUGCCAUAUUUUGUUUAUCCAUUCAUCAAUUAGUGGACAUUUGGGCUGUUUCUACCUUUUAACUAUCGUGAUUAAUGCUGCUAUGAACAUUGGUGCACAGAUAUCUGUUUGAGUUCCUGCUUUCAAUUCUUCCGGGUAUAUAUCCAGAAGGCGAAUUGCUGGAUGGCAUGGUAAUUCUAUUUUUAAUUUUUCGAGGAACGCCAUACUGUUUUCCACAGUGGCUGCAUUAUUUUACAUUCCUACCAGUAAUGUACAGGUGGUCCAAGUUCUCCACAUUCUUGCUAACACUUAUUUUCUGCUUUUUUUUUUUUUUCUGAGAUGGAGUCUUGCUCUGUUGCCCAGGCUGGAGAGCAGUGACAUGAUCUCAGCUCAUUGCAGCCUCCACCUCCCAGGUUCGAGUGAUUCUCCAGCCUCAGUCUCCCGAGUAGCUGAGACUACAGGCACCCACCACUAUGUCCACUAAUUUUUGUAUUUUUCGUAGAGAUAGGGUUUCACCAUGUUGGCCAGCCUGGUCUCGAACUCCUGGCCUCAAGUGAUCCACCCGCCUUGGCCUCCCAAAGUGCUGGGAUUACAGGUGUGAGCCACUGUGCUCGGCCUUAUAUUCUGCUUUUUGAUAAUAGCCAUCCUAAUGGGUGUGAAGUGGUAACUCACUGUACUUAUAGUGUCAUUUUCAGUGGCUGCAUUAUACUCCACUGCAUGUAUCAUGCAGCAUCGUGUAGUAUUUAAGACUCUAAGCACAAGCUACCUAAGUUCAAAUCUCAGUUCCAUCACUUAUUAUAUGAUCUUAGACAAGUUGCUUAACUUCUCUGUACCUCUAUUUAUCAAAUAUGAAUUAUGAUAAUAAUAAUUCAUACUUAUGGGGUUGAGAUGAAGGUUAAAUUAGUUAACUUAUGCACAAUGGGGAGCCAUCAAAGAGUGUUGAGCAAGGGAUUUGCAGGGAUGGACCUGCAUUCUGAAAAGCUUUUCUUCAGCAAUGUUCAUUUUGCUGCCCUGGUGCGGGAGGGCAGAAAACAGGUAGCUGGCUUUACCCAGGGAUGCGAUAUUCUUAGAGUCAGUAGAAUGGAAGGUUAGAGGGAGAAGGAAGGAGAAUGUGUACAUGAGAAUUAUUGUGAAGGAGGACCCUGGAUUUGAAAUUGGCCAACGGAGAGAUUAAAGCAGAUAGAAGAGGCCAUGAAGGGGCCAGGGGGAGACUGGUCCUCUGGAUGAGUCCAGAAACCUGCUGCCAUCGUGGCUGUUGACUAGGAAAGCAGAACAGGUGGUGUGACUGGAGAGUGGUAUAAUAUACUCUAAUAGAUUCUGCAUCGUAAUGUGAUUAUGGACUUCGUCUUGUGCCGGAAUGAUGACCACAACACCACUGAGAAUUUCCAUGUAUAUGCAAUUUCCUUCUUCCAGAUACUGCAUUAGGUGUUUUACCAUUAUCGAAUUUCCUUGAACCAGUUCUGAGAGGGAGAAAUGAUUACUCUCAUUUUAGAGAUGAGCAAAGUGAGGUCCACUACCCCAGAGGACUUAGAGCCCACUAUUGCACAGUUAAGGAGGGGCGGGAGCAGGAUGCCACACUGGGUGUGUCCAUAUCCAAAGCAGGCCAAGAAAUCAUUAAUCACGGGCUCUGCUGCUCAGGAAGAAUAAAAUAAAUACAGAAAAAUCUCAUCUCUGUUGGUAGUUUUGGCUUCCUUAUCCCAUCACUUUCAACCACCCAUGUUUACAUAAGGCCACACCGCUGGGCUGGAAUGCCUAGCUGUGGCCCCUCUCAAGACAACAUGAUAAACAGAGCAUUUGCUCCAAGUUGAACAACAAGGCACACUCCCUCAGCACUAACCCACAUACAGUGUGCCUUUGGAUAAUUGUGGCUGUGGGAACACAGCCCCUUAUAGAUAAGUAAGCAGGUGUAUUUUCUGGGCAGAUAGUCUUGGAGGCUGAGUAGUACUUAGGGAUCUACAGAUUCUGGAGACAGGCAUCCACUGAAGCCAAAGAUUCUCCACCCGUGGGGAGGCGACCAUUGCUGUUGAGCUAGGCAGUCGGGAACAUGGAAGGUUUCUGAGCUGAGGGUGACAUUUGGUCCUUCAGUUCCAUGGUCUAUACCCCCAAGGAGAGCUGACUGGCAGAAAGCUGGAGGUGGGUAAACAGAAGAGGCCCACCACUUCUUGCAGUGUGUGCAUGGCAGGGGGCGUCUGCAGGUACAGAAUGGGGUGCUGGGGCAGGCCCCCACUGGGCUUCAUCCCCACUCGGCACAGGCAGCGGCUCCAUUGACCCGGAUGAGCUGCGCACUGUGCUGCAGUCGUGUCUGCGCGAGAGCGCCAUCUCGCUGCCCGAUGAGAAGCUGGACCAGCUGACGCUGGCGCUGUUCGAAUCGGCCGACGCGGACGGCAACGGGGCCAUCACCUUCGAGGAGCUCCGGGACGAGCUGCAGCGCUUCCCCGGAGUCAUGGAGAACCUGACCAUCAGCGCUGCCCACUGGCUGACGGCCCCAGCCCCCCGCCCACGCCCGCGCCGGCCGCGCCAGCUGACCCGCGCCUACUGGCACAACCACCGCAGCCAGCUGUUCUGCCUGGCCGCCUACGCAGGCCUCCACGUGCUGCUCUUCGCGCUGGCGGCCAGCGCGCACCGGGACCUCGGCGCCAGCGUCAUGGUGGCCAAGGGCUGCGGCCAGUGCCUCAACUUCGACUGCAGCUUCAUCGCGAUGCUGAUGCUCAGACGCUGCCUCACCUGGCUGCGGGCCACGUGGCUGGCUCAAGUCCUACCACUGGACCAGAACAUACAGUUCCACCAGCUUAUGGGCUACGUGGUGGUGGGGCUGUCCCUCGUGCACACCGUGGCCCACACUGUGAACUUUGUGCUCCAGGCUCAGGCGGAGGCCAGCCCUUUCCAGUUCUGGGAGCUGCUGCUCACCACGAGGCCUGGCAUUGGCUGGGUACACGGUUCAGCCUCCCCAACAGGUGUCGCUCUGCUGCUGCUGCUCCUCCUCAUGUUCAUCUGCUCCAGUUCCUGCGUCCGCAGGAGUGGCCACUUUGAGGUGUUCUAUUGGACUCACCUGUCCUACCUCCUCGUGUGGCUUCUGCUCAUCUUUCAUGGGCCCAACUUCUGGAAGUGGCUGCUGGUUCCUGGAAUCUUGUUUUUCCUGGAGAAGGCCAUCGGACUGGCAGUGUCCCGCAUGGCAGCCGUGUGCAUCAUGGAAGUCAACCUCCUCCCCUCCAAGGUCACUCAUCUCCUCAUCAAGCGGCCCCCUUUUUUUCACUAUAGACCUGGUGACUACUUGUAUCUGAACAUCCCCACCAUCGCUCGCUAUGAGUGGCACCCCUUCACCAUCAGCAGUGCUCCUGAGCAGAAAGACACUAUCUGGCUGCACAUUCGGUCCCAAGGCCAGUGGACAAACAGGCUGUAUGAGUCCUUCAAGGCAACAGACCCACUGGGCCGUGGUUCUAAGAGGCUGUCGAGGAGUGUGACAAUGAGAAAGAGUCAAAGGUCAUCCAAGGGCUCUGAGAUACUUUUGGAGAAACACAAAUUCUGUAACAUCAAGUGCUACAUCGAUGGGCCUUAUGGGACCCCCACCCGCAGGAUCUUUGCCUCUGAGCACGCCGUGCUCAUUGGGGCAGGCAUCGGCAUCACCCCCUUUGCUUCCAUCCUGCAGAGUAUCAUGUACAGGCACCAGAAAAGAAAGCAUACUUGCCCCAGCUGCCAGCACUCCUGGAUCGAAGGUGUCCAAGACAACAUGAAGCUCCAUAAGGUGGACUUUAUCUGGAUCAACAGAGACCAGCGGUCUUUCGAGUGGUUUGUGAGCCUGCUGACUAAACUGGAGAUGGACCAGGCUGAGGAGGCUCAAUAUGGCCACUUCCUGGAGCUGCAUAUGUACAUGACAUCUGCACUGGGCAAGAAUGACAUGAAGGCCAUUGGCCUGCAGAUGGCCCUUGACCUCCUGGCCAACAAGGAGAAGAAAGACUCCAUCACGGGGCUGCAGACGCGCACCCAGCCUGGGCGGCCUGACUGGAGCAAGGUGUUCCAGAAAGUGGCUGCUGAGAAGAAGGGCAAGGUGCAGGUCUUCUUCUGUGGCUCCCCAGCUCUGGCCAAGGUGCUGAAGGGCCAUUGUGAGAAGUUCGGCUUCAGAUUUUUCCAAGAGAAUUUCUAGCCUCACCUCUCCAAGCUCUGCCCCAAAUCCACACCGUGGGUCUGCUUCAUUGCAUUAGUAUAAAUGUCCCCACAGGGACCAGCCUCAGACGACCCACCCAAUAAGACAAAGCCUAGGGACCCCCUAAUCCUGCUCAACACAGAGAACAGGAGACCCCAAGGGGCAGAUGAACUUCCUCUAGAACCCAGGGGAAGGGACAGUGCCUUGUUCAGUCUGCUAUAGAUUCUGGGGUUUCUGUGAAACAGGAAACCAGAGGCUGGUGAUGGGAGCUUGGGGGUGGGGUUCGAGGGGGCAGAGGGCAACCACUCCUCCAAACAUUUUCCGAUGGAGCCUUCCCCUACAUCCACGGUCCCAAACCUGCCCAAUCAUCACAGUCAUUUGGAAGCCUGUUUCUCCGGCAUCUUAUAAAAUUGUUCAAACAUAC
Molecule: small RNA, 5843 nt
Filed under: Pongo abelii (Sumatran orangutan)
Lineage: Eukaryota; Metazoa; Chordata; Mammalia; Primates; Hominidae
Description: retained intron
Source: RNAcentral